UGGUUUGUAGCUCAAUUGGAAAAGACCUUUCGGCUUUUACCCGAAAGGUUGUGAGUUCAAGUCUCACCAAGCCAA
Molecule: transfer RNA, 75 nt
Filed under: Chitinophagaceae bacterium
Lineage: Bacteria; Pseudomonadati; Bacteroidota; Chitinophagia; Chitinophagales; Chitinophagaceae
Description: tRNA-Lys
Rfam family: tRNA
About the family: Transfer RNA (tRNA) molecules are approximately 80 nucleotides in length. Their secondary structure includes four short double-helical elements and three loops (D, anti-codon, and T loops). Further hydrogen bonds mediate the characteristic L-shaped molecular structure. tRNAs have two regions of fundamental functional importance: the anti-codon, which is responsible for specific mRNA codon recognition, and the 3' end, to which the tRNAs corresponding amino acid is attached (by aminoacyl-tRNA synthetases). tRNAs cope with the degeneracy of the genetic code in two manners: having more than one tRNA (with a specific anti-codon) for a particular amino acid; and 'wobble' base-pairing, i.e. permitting non-standard base-pairing at the 3rd anti-codon position.
Source: RNAcentral